GACGAACGCUGGCGGCGUGCCUAAUACAUGCAAGUAGAACGCUGAAGGAGGAGCUUGCUUCUCCGGAUGAAUUGCGAACGGGUGAGUAACGCGUAGGUAACCUGCCUGGUAGCGGGGGAUAACUAUUGGAAACGAUAGCUAAUACCGCAUAACAGUAGAUAUUGCAUGAUAUCUGCUUGAAAGGUGCAAUUGCAUCACUACCAGAUGGACCUGCGUUGUAUUAGCUAGUUGGUGGGGUAACGGCUCACCAAGGCGACGAUACAUAGCCGACCUGAGAGGGUGAUCGGCCACACUGGGACUGAGACACGGCCCAGACUCCUACGGGAGGCAGCAGUAGGGAAUCUUCGGCAAUGGACGGAAGUCUGACCGAGCAACGUCGCGUGAGUGAAGAAGGUUUUCGGAUCGUAAAGCUCUGUUGUAGAGAAGAACGAGUGUGAGAGUGGAAAGUUCACACUGUGACGGUAUCUACCA
Molecule: ribosomal RNA, 471 nt
Filed under: Streptococcus sp. oral taxon 431
Lineage: Bacteria; Bacillati; Bacillota; Bacilli; Lactobacillales; Streptococcaceae
Description: bacterial SSU rRNA
Rfam family: Bacterial small subunit ribosomal RNA
Source: RNAcentral